RNAcentral lists this transfer RNA (73 nucleotides) under Araneus ventricosus. RNAcentral's name for it is "tRNA-Phe". Lineage: Eukaryota; Metazoa; Arthropoda; Arachnida; Araneae; Araneidae. The record is from RNAcentral.
UGCCGAAACCCUGGAUGGAACAAGGGACCUUUAGAUCUUCAGUCUAACGCUCUCCCAACUGAGCUAUUUCGGC